This 538-nucleotide long non-coding RNA is filed under the name Homo sapiens (human). Its description in RNAcentral is "non-protein coding lnc-FKBP9-1:1". The record is from RNAcentral. Lineage: Eukaryota; Metazoa; Chordata; Mammalia; Primates; Hominidae.
GAUUUUUUAGAUACUAUUUUAAAUGGUAAAACAAAGGCCGGGCGCAGGGGCUCACACCUGUAAUCCCAGCACUUUGGGAGGCCAAGGAGGACAGAUCACUCAAGGUCAGGAGUUCGAGACCAGACUGGCCAAUAUGGUGCAACCCCGCCUCACUAAAAUAUAAAAAUUAGCCAGGUUUGGUGGCACGCACCUGUAGUCCCAGAUACUCGGGAGGCUGAGGAAGGAGAAUCGCCUGAACCCAGGAGGUGGAGGUUGCUGUGAGCUAAGAUCACCCCACUGAACUCUAGCCUGGGCUACAGAGCAAGACUCCCUCUCAAAAAAAAAAAAAAAAAAGGUAAAACAAAAUGAGUUCAAAAUUCAAUUUUCAGUUUUUAUUUUGUUUCUAACCAAAAUAUCCUAUUUUAUGUUAUUUUAUGUAUUUCAUAAUAUACUGCCUUGAUUAGAAAACGUUAUUCAAAUAAUGUCAGUUCUAACUCACUUCUUUUUCCAACUAUGAAUGUUAAGGCUUCAAAGUUGCUGCAUUAAAAUAUUUUAAAGU